AGCAGCUCGUCAAUCUGCCACUCUGUAGCUCUUUAUAUGCCCGCUGAGUCAUAGCCACCGAGUGUCAAAGCCUCUCAGUAGGUUUGUGACGUCAUCCUCGGAAGUGUUAGCAAACCAUAAGCGAAAGCGGUAUUCAGAUUUGUAUUAAGAGAAAGCCAUAAUAAAUAGUUUAAAUAGUAAAUAAUAAUAAUAGCAAUUAAGAAUUUAUAAGUGGUGAAUUCUUAGUUUUUUAGAAGAAUAAAUCAAUGUUAUUUAUCACGUUAUAACUCAAUAAAAUGAAGGACUGUUUGAUGCUCUUCAUAAAACAACAUUUGAGAGAUUAUAUGAAGUUGAAUAUCGAAAACUACCUGAUCCAGCCCUAUAUAAUUUGUAAUCCAGUCUCCUCUCGAUGUCAUGUGAGCAUUGAAACCCGAAAAACAUUCAGUCUGCUGGCUUAACUUGUUUUCCAUAACUGUGAAAUGUCUUUGUUUACUAUUUUCUUCUUUGAACUGUUCUUCGUCGGACAAUGUGUACUUAGAUGUUCGUAUUUAUUGCAACUAUAACCAUGGUUUCUUGAUUUUUUUUGCACUUGACGGAAAUCUGUUCAAAUUUUUAUAAAAGGUACUUUCAGAAUUCUUCGUUGAUGUUACAAA
Molecule: non-coding RNA, 632 nt
Organism: Parasteatoda tepidariorum (common house spider)
Lineage: Eukaryota; Metazoa; Arthropoda; Arachnida; Araneae; Theridiidae
Source: RefSeq, a predicted model, not a curated record